UACAGAGGGGGCGAGCGUUGUUCGGAAUUACUGGGCGUAAAGGGCGCGUAGGCGGCCCGCUAAGUCGCACGUGAAAUCCCCAGGCUCAACCUGGGAACUGCGUCCGAUACUGGCAGGCUUGAAUCCGGGAGAGGGAUGUGGAAUUCCAGGUGUAGCGGUGAAAUGCGUAGAUAUCUGGAGGAACACCGGUGGCGAAGGCGGCAUCCUGGACCGGUAUUGACGCUGAGGCGCGAAAGCUAGGGGAGCAAACGGG
This 253-nucleotide ribosomal RNA is filed under the name uncultured bacterium. Its description in RNAcentral is "partial 16S ribosomal RNA". It matches the Rfam family "Bacterial small subunit ribosomal RNA", at positions 524 to 776 of the family's 1533-position model. The record is from RNAcentral.